GUCAAGAAUAUUCCGCAAUGGACGAAAGUCUGACGGAGCGACGCCGCGUGCAGGAAGAAGCCCUUCGGGGUGUAAACUGCUUUUAUAUGGGAAGAAUUCGUGACGGUACCAUAUGAAUAAGAGGUUGCUAACUCUGUGCCAGCAGCAGCGGUAAUACAGAGACCUCAAACGUUAUCCGGAUUCAUUGGGCGUAAAGCGUCCGCAGGUGGUUUGUAAAGUUAAUGGUUAAAUCCCGGAGCUUAACUUCAGGACUGCUGUUAAAACUCACAGACUCGAGGUUGGGAGAGGCAAGCGGAAUUCUCGGUGUAGUCGUAAUAAGCGCUGAUAUCGAGAAGAACACCAAAGGCAAAGGCAGCUUGCUAGAACAUACCUGACACUCAUGGACGAAAGCGUGGGUAGCGAAUGGGAUUAGAUACCCGGGUAGUCC
Molecule: ribosomal RNA, 427 nt
Filed under: uncultured bacterium
Lineage: Bacteria
Description: bacterial SSU rRNA
Rfam family: Bacterial small subunit ribosomal RNA
Source: RNAcentral